AGACAACCAACGGUUCCUGAUCAGAGUGCUGAGCUCAGAGCACCACACACAGAAACAAGCCAAGCACCCAGAAUCCCAACGGCUUCUGACUGACCCCCAGAAUGGCUGGGCAAAGUGGAAUGUGUAAAACCCUGUGAGUACUGAGAGUUAAGCCCCGGUCCUUCGGGCACCGCCUAACAGUGUUGCGUAUCGAGUCAGCCAUUCCUCCGCACAGUGAGGCCCAGCUGGGCCCCGUCUUAGCUAUACUUUUAAAUGCUGUUCUCAGUCUCCGUUUUUUCAGUUGUUCCAUGGAGAGUCCCCAAGCCUCUUUCAGGAGGAGAGAAACAGCAAUGACCUCACACGGGUGGAGCAUACAAGCUACAGCAGUGGUGCUGCGGAGGGGCGGCACGCCACGGCUGGGGUGAACCGGGGCCAUUAGCAGUCCUACUGGGAUGCUUCGUAGUAAGUUAGGGCCCUUACUGAAUGUUAACCUUCAUGCCACACUGACCGCUCAGCGCAAACCUAAACUGUAAUGGUAUGCUCCAAAGUGUACGUGAAAGACAAAUAGGUAAUACAUUAAAACAACAACAACAACAACAAC
RNAcentral lists this long non-coding RNA (580 nucleotides) under Mus pahari (shrew mouse). RNAcentral describes it as "lncRNA (MGP_PahariEiJ_G0002748.1)". Lineage: Eukaryota; Metazoa; Chordata; Mammalia; Rodentia; Muridae. The record is from RNAcentral.